AGAACGAACGCUGGCGGCAUGCCUAAUACAUGCAAGUCGAACGAACUCUUCGGAGUUAGUGGCGCACGGGUGCGUAACGCGUGGGAAUCUGCCCCUUGGUUCGGAAUAACAGUUGGAAACGACUGCUAAUACCGGAUGAUGACGAAAGUCCAAAGAUUUAUCGCCAAGGGAUGAGCCCGCGUAGGAUUAGCUAGUUGGUGAGG
RNAcentral lists this ribosomal RNA (203 nucleotides) under uncultured soil bacterium. Its description in RNAcentral is "partial 16S ribosomal RNA". It matches the Rfam family "Bacterial small subunit ribosomal RNA", at positions 26 to 257 of the family's 1533-position model. The record is from RNAcentral.